GAUGAAGAACGCAGCGAAAUGCGAUAAGUAGUGUGAAUUGCAGAAUUCAGUGAAUCAUCGAAUCUUUGAACGCACAUUGCGCCCCUUGGUAUUCCAUGGGGCAUGCCUGUUCGAGCGUCAUUUGUACCUUCAAGCUUUGCUUGGUGUUGGGUGUUUGUCUCGCCUUUGCGUGUAGACUCGCCUUAAAAUAAUUGGCAGCCGGCGUAUUAAUUUCGGAGCGCAGUACAUCUCGCGCUUUGCACUCAUAACGACAGCGUCCAAAAGUACAUUUUACACUCUUGACCUCGGAUCAGGUAGGGAUACCCGCUGAACUUAAGCAUAUCAAUAAGCGGAGGA
RNAcentral lists this unclassified non-coding RNA (336 nucleotides) under soil metagenome. RNAcentral describes it as "partial contains 5.8S ribosomal RNA, internal transcribed spacer 2, and large subunit ribosomal RNA". The stretch from base 1 to 120 matches the Rfam family "5.8S ribosomal RNA", at positions 35 to 154 of the family's 154-position model. The record is from RNAcentral.